Molecule: long non-coding RNA, 1436 nt
Filed under: Apteryx haastii (Great spotted kiwi)
Lineage: Eukaryota; Metazoa; Chordata; Aves; Apterygiformes; Apterygidae
Description: lncRNA (ENSAHAG00000014209.1)
Source: RNAcentral
GUUCCCCAUCGUGGUGCUGGUCCAGUCCUGGUCCCCAUCCUGCUCCCAGCCUCGUCCCCAUCAUGGUGCUGUUCCAGUCCUGGUCCCCAUCCUGCUCCCAGCCUCAUCCCCAUCACAGUGCUGGUCUGUUCCACAUUGUGGUGCUGGUCCAGCCCAGGUCCUCAUCCCAGUCCCAGCCUCAUCCCCAAAACAGUGCCAGUCUGCUCCCUGUCCACCCCGCUCCAGUCCCCAUUGUGCUGUUGGUCCAGUCCCAGUCCCCAUCCUGCUCCCAGCCUCAUCCCCAACACAGUGCCUGUCCAGUCCCUGUCCUCCCUGGUCCUUUCCCCAUCAUGGUGCUGGUCUGGUCCCCAUCCUGCUCCCAGCCUCACCCCCAUCGCGGUGCUGCUCCAGUCCCAGCCUGUCUCAGUCCAAUCCCCAGCCAAACACAAGCCCACUCGCAGCCCCCACCUGUCUCCGUCCGAUCCCAGUCCUGUCUCAGCCUGGUCUAAUUCUGACCCCAGUCCAGUCCCAGUCUGGCCCUGAUCCCACCCCCAUCUAGUCCCAGGGCAGCGCAGCCCAGCUGGGCGCGGGGUCCCCCUUGGUGCCGCCCGCAGCCCCGGYUGCACCCGGUGCCUUCGCUGCAGGGGAGCACCGGGACACGGACCGGUGCUGCCGGGACCAUGACCACUGCCAGCACGUCAUCCACCCCUUCACGGCCCGCUACGGCUACCGCAACCUGCGCUGGCACACCAUCAGCCACUGCGACUGCGACCGCAGGUGAGCCGCCUCGCGCCCCGGCCGCGUCCCGGCUCCCUCCCGCCGCCGCGGGCACCCCGGCCCGCUGGGCACCCCGUGCCCCUCCCUCACCCCGGCUCUGCUCGGCCGCCCAGGUUGAGGGACUGCCUGCGGCGGGUCAACGACAUGGCCUCGCGGGUGGUGGGCCAGGCCUUCUUCAACGUGCUCCGCGUGCCCUGCUUCGAGUUCGCCUACAAGGAGGAGUGCGUGGAGCCCUACCUCUAYGUCUGGUGCAAGGCGUACAACACGGUGGCCGUCGCGGUGCCGAGGGAGCCGGUGCUCUACGAGUUCGGCGGGGAGCUCAUCGACAGGGCGGCAGGGCCCGGGGACGCCGGGGGGGGCCCUCGGAGCAGCACGGGCGCUGGACCGGCACCUGCCGAGCAUCACACGACCGCUCGCGCUGUCACCRCGACCACGGUGGACGAUCGCCUGCUGCCCACCCCACAGGCGACCCYGAACGAGAGGAAGGGGAAAGAGAAGAAGAAAAAGAAGGGGAAAGGCCUGAAAAAGAAAGGYCCUUCCGAAAAUGGGAGGCUGAGCCAUCCUGCCCCGGUUGCCCACGCUCAUCCCCCCGAGCGGCCGGGCGCAGCGGAGCUGGGGGAGGCGGCGAGGCAGGACCUGCGGGCCAAGCUGCUGGCGCGGAGCCUGGACUUGGGGGGUGA